CUUUAAUCGAUAGAGGUUCUUCUUUAUUAAAAAAAGAAAACAUAAAAAAAGGAGUACAGCCGGGCAGCUAUACUCCAUGUUUUUAAUUUUGUUUAAAUGACAUCUGUUGACAAGUGGCGGUUAAUGAAUCGGGGAUCCUCUUUUUUAAUUAAAAAAUAAUAUAGCCGGCCUGCUAUACAUAUUUUUGACAUGUGGCCUUAAUCAAUAGAGGUUCUCCUUUAUUAAAAAAAGGGAAAAAAGGGUACAACCGCACGGCUAUACUCCAUGUUUUUAAUUUUGUUGUAAAAAAGACGUGUGUUGACACGUGACGCCUAAUGGGUUGGGGUCCUCAUUUUUAUAUUAAAAAACAGUAUAGUCGUUCGGCUAUAUGCAGUUUUUAAAAAGGUAUAGCCGCACGGCUAUACGAUUUUCACACGCUGCUCUGUUUUCUCUUUAGAAAGUCGUAUUAGCCGUGCGGCUAUACUCGAUUUUUUCCUUCUUUUUUUAUUAUAAAAGAGUAUAGCUGGGCAGCGUUACUGGUUUUUUUUUUUUUAAUUGUCUUUAUCAAUAAAUAGUAUAGAUGAGCGGCUAUAGUAUUUUACAUAUGUAUGCAUAUAUAUGUGUGUGUGUGUGUGUGUGUGUGUGUGUGUGUGUGUGUGUCUCCUGUUUAAUUUCGAAGUUUUCA
RNAcentral lists this long non-coding RNA (664 nucleotides) under Prunus persica (peach). RNAcentral's name for it is "long non-coding RNA (PPER_LNC007322)". The record is from RNAcentral. Lineage: Eukaryota; Viridiplantae; Streptophyta; Magnoliopsida; Rosales; Rosaceae.